AAGCAGCUUCUUGCUUCCCAUUCUGAAGGUGAUGGUCAAGGACUUUCAAGCCCUCCAAUUGAAAAUGCCAGCAUUAAGGACAGAGUCUCCCAAGUGAGUUGCACAAACCCUGGGAGGUGUGUCAGGUGAGGCUCUGAAGUGAUAAAAAAUAUUGGGACUUCUAUUUUUUAAUAUAUUUUAAUCCUUCAAAAGAAAGGAAUAAAGAUCUGCUAACAUCUAACCUAUGGAUCAGCUCCAGCAUCUUCUCUCCACACAGAUGUCUGCCUGCCAGGUCAUGAGACGGCACCUCUCUAGGAGGGACGUGGGAGGAGCAGCCAGCCCUGCCCCGGCUUUCUCCUUACUUUUUAGUAUCCUGCUCCCUAUUGCAUUUUACAUGUGCCCAAUUCAGUGGAUUCACAGGCUGUAUCAUCUAGUUAAUCAAACUAAUCCUUCACAAAAGCUCUGAUGGCUUCAAGAUAUUUCUGCAAAGAAACCAACUUAAUAACAA
Long non-coding RNA from Bubalus bubalis (water buffalo), 487 nucleotides. RefSeq lists it as uncharacterized. The transcript is spliced from 2 exons. NCBI's taxonomy places the organism in Eukaryota, Metazoa, Chordata, Mammalia, Artiodactyla, Bovidae. The record is from RefSeq and is a predicted model, not a curated record.